ACUAGCCUUUUGUCCCUGGCCAGAGGAAGUGAAGCGGUCAUCUCCGUCCUUCCCGUACACCCAGGAUUAGCUGAGACAGCGCCCUAUCACCACGCACGCCCCUGAUCUGGACGGCACAGCCGAGUCCGUGGCGGCGUGGUCCUUCUCCCCAGGUCCCUGGAUCCAGCCGAGAUUCAUCCUGGAUGCAUCGUCCAGCCGCUGCCCUCGAUGCCUCCGCUGCGUCUCUCUCCGUGGCCCAGCCGCUGCCCUCGAGUCACCGUCCGACAGCCUCGACACCUACCGGCAGUCGGACGGGCGCGCAGCCGCACCUGUUAACAUCCAAUUUCACAAGAAGGUGCUCUUGCAGGUAAGCACGAUGGUUCUCCGAUCCGCUGUACUUUCACUCAAUUUUGUUUGGACGGUGGGUAAUUCCUUUCAUCUAGUCUUCAAUAAACCAGAUCAGUUUAUACACGCAGCGGACUUUCUGGACUGGCGCUAUGCCGCUCUAACCUUCUCUCCUCCUCUGUUCCAACUCCCUCCUCCUCGUUCCCCCAAUCUUUCCCUCGCCCUCUGAUCUCUCUCUAAUCCCUUGUCACAUCUUCUUUCUUGUGGAUCCUUUCUUAUCAGCUGUCCUGCUUUGGCCCUCCCGGUCACUUGUGGUUCUGGAGGGGCGGGUUUCUAGCAUAAAAAGAGAGCUUGCUCGUCCGGAUGCGGACGAGCAUGGGGAAAAGAGUGUUAAUCAAGUCACUCAGCUCUCUUCUCGAGCGAUUGCGCCAGAUCCUGGGAUUGAGCUCACCAUGCAAGCGCUGUCCAUCAGCGAACCGGCGAUUGUUUAUAUUCAGUCUGAACAGAGGCUUGAGGAGGGUCAGGAUGCAGAUUUCAAUUUUCUCAUGAAGCUUGCUUCUACAAGAGGUCCAAUCAGAGUUCUUUCGGUUUAGACUGUGCAGCACUCUAUGGCUAGAGCAUGGAGGGCUAUUAUGGUAUAUCGCAAUUAUCAAGGUAUAUUUUUGUGGCUCACUUCCGUUCUUUGGAUGCUGUUAUGUUUGUGAUUACUCCUCAGCCUUGGAGCAUGGGUUCGGAUAACUUUCUGCUUGAAUUAUGGGUACUGCUAUUAUCAAGGCACUGCCUUGAUAAUAGCUGUACCCAUAAUUCAAAGAUAUAUAUGUGCGUGCUCUCAGUUGGCACCUCACUGCUACGACCAGUUACUUGAGAUUGCGGAAGCCAGCGCUGGCCCGGAUGGGCACCUCGCUGUACCCAUAAUUCAAAGGUAUAUUCAAGCAGAAAGUCAAAGUGGUGCCUUUAUAGGUACAGUGCUGCUGCCAGUCACAGUUAAUCCAGAGACAGCCGCUGUUCGGAGCGACAACACGGGAGUAGCACAAGUUGAAACAUUGCAGGCUCUAGGACAGCAGAGCGGUGCUAUUUCGGACCCGGUGCAGAUGGGCGGUGCUAAACAAUCUGGGCCAUUUUCUUAGGAGUUGCUGGGCCCUCUGUACACGCCUAGGCAGGAGAUGAAUAUAUUGAAGCAGCGAUUUAGGCCAGAUUUGGGCCAACAGAUUGCCCACAUUACUCAACGCGUGCUGGGACCGAUUGGCACUUUGGAUCAGAAUAUCCCUGUUAUCCCUCCGUCUUCAACCCUAGAUGCCUCUCAUCAACUUGAACUUGCAAAUCCUCUUCUUUGCCCUGAAAUUCCUAGUCUGUGUGUAGUGCCUGCAACUCGCAUUACACAAUCUUCUCCUAAAUCUAUCCAGGCUCCCAUGGAAGACAAAAAUCUCAAUGGGAGUGUUACUUUUAGUCCCUCCCUCUUCUCAGGCGUUGUGCCUUCCUCGUCACCGCCUCGCUGCCCUAUCCCCUCUCCCCUCAGAUCCAGUCCCGAGAGGCCGUCGGACUCGCUACUUGGUGUUUGCACACGAACACGUCACCGUGUACCGUCGACGCCCGGGGUGAUGCACCGCAGCUCACGUCGAAGGAGACCUUCCGGAAGCGCGGUACGCAAGCAAUCCGGCGGGUGCUUUUGAAGACCCGAAACCCCACGCACCCGGGAGGAACCCCGUCAGAGCGCGCGGCGGCUAUGGGCUGCCCUAGGUCGACCUGAUCGCCCCUAGGGCCUCGAGGUUCGCUGCCCUGCUACAAGACAAACAGACGAAGAACGAGGAAGAAAAGAAUUAGGGUUAAGGAGAAACGAUAAAAGAUAAAAAAGUGGUAGAUGAUUUGAUCGAUUGUGUGUUGUUCAAACGGCCGUCACCCCUUAGGUAUAUAAGAGGCGGCUAGACUUCCCAUGCAAGGAAAAGGCUUGGAUUCACGUCCAAAACCCUAGUCAAAUUCGGAUUGGUUUUGUCCGAACUUUUCAAAACUGUUCGGUUUAAACUGGCUGCACCUUGCGGGUAAUUUUUGAGGUGGUAAACGACCUCUGAUGGAAACGAGCCCAAAAGCAGUCUUGACCGCUUCGACGAGACGAAUAACUUUCAUGUUGGACAUUUUUUGAUUAGAGGUCAUCUUGAGGGUCAAAUCGGUCGCCCAAAACAGGCUAUUAUACGUCCUGACAAGGCUGUAUUCUGAUGGCUCUAACUUUUGCGUACGAACUCGGAUUGUGAUGAUUUUAUAUGAAAAUCGACCGUUUCAACGAUACGAAGACAAUUUGUGUAGAAACUUUUCUUAUAUGAGGUCGUCUUGGAGUCUUAAUUGGCCGAACAAUACUUUGAAAACAAAAUCUUAAUACUUUGAGCAUAGUUUCGGCCCUUGAGAUGAGGUCGGAUGGCGAUGGCCCAAACUUCAAAGAUGUUCAUGUUGACAAUACGGAACUUUUUCUAGUAGAUCACUUCUCCAUUUGAGACCAUAUCAAUUAAGUUUUUGACCGUGCCAAAAUCUGGUGUCAACACAUGCCCCCUGUUUUUGGCAAAACUUGUGUGCCGAAAAAUAACUUGCACGAAGUUUGUUCUAAGAGCGAUGUCAACACUUCAUCGGCCAUUCGUACGUGCUUAGGACGAUAUGUAUAUAUUGGCCAUUUAGAUUAGAAACAAAAGUGAAGCUAAUCGAACAUAUAAUGAUUUGGUAAUACCCUUUCAUGAUGUAAGAAAUUAUAUUGCAUCCAUGGAUUAAAAUAAGCCCAUUGAGGGUAACCAAUCAUACCUGAUGACGAAUUUCAUGGCAUAGCCAUCAACGGCAUAGUUGAAGAAUAUAAAUAAUGUGUGGACCGAAGAUGUUGAAACCUUCGGCUUGGUCCUUCAUAGUUUUCACUCUUUUCCUUCUUCAUCUUUGCCGCACGUCAUGUAAUGGAUGCUUUCACAUAAUUCUUAUUUUGAGUGGUUCCUUUAGAAACCCAUGCCAUGUUUCUUUCUUCAAGUUUUUGUGCACUAACUUUUUGUAAUUUUUUUUUUUGCCGAUAGGAUAAGCCGAGUGAGCACCUCGGCUGUGAUUUUGUUUGAAGUAAUGAAAAUUAUGCUUUUACCUUGCGCACUCUCAACUUCUUCUCUUCAGAUUUGACACUUCAUUGACUUGCCUCAUUGCCUUUCGUAGCCAAUAUCAACACUUUAAUUGGCUCUUUGUUAUUUGAGAUCAAAUCUGAAGUACCACAGUUAUGACCAUCUCUUUUCACGCGCUGCAUAGUAUUGGUGAGAUGGUCUAAAAUAAGAUGAAGAAUGUGCCCUUGUAUUAUACAUAUCCCAUGAUGGAUAUGGAUUUACAUGAGCAUAAGGAGGUAUCCAUGACAUUGGCAUUAGCGGCCCAAAGUAAGGACAUGAAUAUGCUGCAUAGAGAUUCUAGGGGUGAUCUUGAUGCUUCUGAACUACUUGACCGAUAAGCACUUUUCUCUUCACUCUUCUUUUAGACCUUAACUGUUUUGAAUCUUCAUGUCUAUUUAGGCAAUAGCACGGGGUAAGAAAGUUAUAACCAAUCGGUGGAUUCGUAAGC
Triticum aestivum (bread wheat) is the source of this 3885-nucleotide long non-coding RNA. RefSeq lists it as uncharacterized. NCBI's taxonomy places the organism in Eukaryota, Viridiplantae, Streptophyta, Magnoliopsida, Poales, Poaceae. The record is from RefSeq and is a predicted model, not a curated record. The transcript is spliced from 3 exons.